AUAAAAUUGUUAAGAUAUGCUCUAAAAAAAAUAGGUGGCAACAAAAACAGAAAAAGAAAAAAAAAAUGAUAAGAGCCAUAAGAGUUUAAGAAAAACCCAAUUCACUAGACUAGACUCAUAGAGUUUAAGAAAAGCUUCUCCUUAAGAACAAGAGCCAAAGAAAAUAAAAGAAAACAUUGAUCCAAGAAAAAAAUCGAAAUAUGCCUUUAGUGCAAAAGGGUAGACUUAGGAUCAUCAUUGUGUUUAGAGAUAAGACCAUCUACUUGUUAUUCACGGUUUAUGUCAUUGGGUAGAUGGGGUGCUAUUCUUGUAUGCAUAGGUUGGCACUUACCUUUAACAUUCUUCUAAAGCUCAGUCCUUUUUCAUUGAGAGUCCGCUGCUAUUAAAAUCUGAACCACUAAAAAGGGACCAUCUUUGUCUCAUAACCUGUCAUUAGCCAAAUGAGUUCACUAGGGAUUGGUUGAUCUUGACGCAUUGUGCAUUUGAUUGUAGGUUUGGAUCAUAACAGAGCAUGGCUAAAGUUUUUAAGUAGAAGUCGAUCACCUCGCAUCUUAGAAAUGUAAGCUGGUACAGUGAUCUUAAUUGUCAUAUCUCAUGCUUUGGUUCUGAAUUCCCAACUUCAAACCUCUCCUUCCGCUUAUGUCUUCUUGUUUGCUUGAGGGCAAGCAAAGACUAAGUUUGGGGGAGUUGAUAUGUCUAUAAUUUGCAUGAUUUAGGCAUUCAUUCUUCACCACUUUGUCAAUGUUUCAUCCAUAAAUCAUCUCAUUAAGAGUCGUUUUAGUGUGUCUUACAUACUUAGGACGAUUUUGCAUUAGGAUUGCAUGUGCAUGGCAUAUUUGGUUGUUUUCAGGUACUUUGUAUGUUUUUGGAGUUCAAACAGAGGAAAAACAGAACAUGAAGUCGGAAUGCCCAAUGACGCCUUCGGCAAAAGUACUCUAUUGCAGCCUCGGAGCCCUGCCAGGGCAAAUCACUCUAUCGCAACCCCGAAGAAGCAAGCAACUCAGUUUCACUCAAUCGCGAAGCCGGAGGAAGCACCUCAUCAGAACCACUCGAUCACCACUCGAUCACCAAAAGGCCUAUCGGCUCGUUCUGCACUCAUGACAUCCACUCGAUCGCAUUCGAUCACAGGUUCGCUAGACCAUUCAAUCCCGACUUCACUGCAUCUCACUCGAUCGCAAGACGGAGCCCUUGAAGCCCAGUUUGAUCAAUGACAUACUCGAUCACUGGAAAGCUCAUUUCAGCCCGUCAGAUGCCAAUGACACAUUCGGUCGCGGGGUCAUGACGUGAAGAUUCGCUUUAUAUUUAGUUUCCUUAUUUCUUUCAUUUCUCGCUUAUAUAAACUGCCUCUUAGGGUUUUCUCUAGGGCAUCCGUUAUUAUCUCGCUUUUACAUUUUCGCAACUUUGAUAGCCGCAGUGUUUCUCCUGCGACUUUGUAUUUUCACCUUCAAGUAUUUGAUAUUCAGUUUUCGUUUAAGUCUUUCGUCAUUUCUGCUAUCAUGUUUUCAAUCGUUGCUUUGCUAUUGUCUUUGAUUAUGUUUGAGUAGUGAACUAUAUUUCUGAGGAUGGGAUAGAAUAGUUGUGGUUUACUUGGUU
RNAcentral lists this small RNA (1593 nucleotides) under Arabidopsis thaliana (thale cress). RNAcentral describes it as "ATSL035950". The record is from RNAcentral. Lineage: Eukaryota; Viridiplantae; Streptophyta; Magnoliopsida; Brassicales; Brassicaceae.